UACGUAGGUGGCAAGCGUUGUCCGGAUUUACUGGGCGUAAAGAGCGCGCAGGCGGUCGGAUAAGUCGAAUGUGAAAGCCCCCGGCUCAACUGGGGAGGGUCAUUCGAUACUGUUCGACUCGAAGGCAGGAGAGGGAAGUGGAAUUCCCGGUGUAGUGGUGAAAUGCGUAGAUACCGAGAGGAACACCUGCGGCGAAGGCGGGUUGCUGGGCUGACACUGACGCUGAUGCGCGAAAGCUAGGGGAGCGAACGGG
RNAcentral lists this ribosomal RNA (253 nucleotides) under uncultured bacterium. RNAcentral's name for it is "partial 16S ribosomal RNA". It matches the Rfam family "Bacterial small subunit ribosomal RNA", at positions 524 to 776 of the family's 1533-position model. The record is from RNAcentral.